Molecule: ribosomal RNA, 253 nt
Filed under: uncultured bacterium
Lineage: Bacteria
Description: partial 16S ribosomal RNA
Rfam family: Bacterial small subunit ribosomal RNA
Source: RNAcentral
UACGGAGGGUGCGAGCGUUGUUCGGAAUUACUGGACGUAAAGGGGGCGUAGGCGGUUUGUUAAGUCCAAUGUGAAAGACCACGGCUUAACUGUGGAAGUGCAUUUGAGACUGGCAGGCUAGAGUUUCGGAAGGGAAAGUGGAAUUCCUGGUGUAGGAGUGAAAUCCGUAGAUAUCAGGAGGAAUACCGGUGGCGAAGGCGACUUUCUGGACGAAUUCUGACGCUGAGGCCCGAAAGCGUGGGGAGCAAACAGG